CCAUGCCGCUGCACUCAGACCGUGUCUGUUGCCAACUCUAGAGUGGAAUUCUUCGCGACUCUGGCCAUAGAUACCAAGAGGGUGUACUCGAUGGCGACUUCGGUCAUUGCGCGUUACAGAUUGUUGUGAAACGUAGAAGAAGAGAUAAGUCAUGCUAUUAACGAAAAUAAUGACAAAAUUUAUAAUUGACUGAUUAGAUAUUCAACGGAAUUUCUCGAUAAUAUAGCCAAAAUGAUAACAAAAUAAUAACAAAAAAGGAAAAUAAACGAGUUUUAUUGCAAUAUGCGUCUACUAUAACAGCUUCCAUCACAACCUUAGGAUUAGGCUGCAUGUCUGCAUGGCCUUCACCUUCUUUGACCUACUUG
Long non-coding RNA from Belonocnema kinseyi, 365 nucleotides. RefSeq lists it as uncharacterized. The record is from RefSeq and is a predicted model, not a curated record. NCBI's taxonomy places the organism in Eukaryota, Metazoa, Arthropoda, Insecta, Hymenoptera, Cynipidae. The transcript has 3 exons.